AAGUCGUAACAAGGUUUUCCGUAGGUGAACCUGCGGAAGGAUCAUUAUUGAAACUUGAAUCGUAGCAUUGAGAACUGUUGCUGACCUGUUAAAGGGUAUGUGCACGUUCGACGUGUUGCGUUCUAUUCAUCCACCUGUGCACCUUUGUAGACUUGAUUAACUUUCGCUCUCGAGCGGUUAGAAGGGUUGCUUUCGAGUUCCCUUUGUCUAUCAAGUCUAUGUCUAUAUAAUCCCUUGUAUGUCUAGAAUGUCUUGUUUAUGGGACGCAAGUCCUUUAAAUCUUAUACAA
RNAcentral lists this unclassified non-coding RNA (289 nucleotides) under plant metagenome. RNAcentral's name for it is "partial contains small subunit ribosomal RNA and internal transcribed spacer 1". The stretch from base 1 to 47 matches the Rfam family "Eukaryotic small subunit ribosomal RNA", at positions 1786 to 1831 of the family's 1831-position model. The record is from RNAcentral.